This 517-nucleotide ribosomal RNA is filed under the name Metschnikowia pulcherrima. Its description in RNAcentral is "partial large subunit ribosomal RNA". It matches the Rfam family "Eukaryotic large subunit ribosomal RNA", at positions 65 to 671 of the family's 3401-position model. Lineage: Eukaryota; Fungi; Ascomycota; Pichiomycetes; Serinales; Metschnikowiaceae. The record is from RNAcentral.
CCCAAGGGGAUGCCCAUAACGGGCGAGUGAAGCGGCAAAAGCUCAAAUUUGAAAUCCCCCGGGAAUUGUAAUUUGAAGAGAUUUGGGUCCGGCCGGCGGGGGUUAAGUCCACUGGAAAGUGGCGCCACAGAGGGUGACAGCCCCGUGAACCCCUUCAACGCCUUCAUCCCAGAUCUCCAAGAGUCGAGUUGUUUGGGAAUGCAGCUCUAAGUGGGUGGUAAAUUCCAUCUAAAGCUAAAUACCGGCGAGAGACCGAUAGCGAACAAGUACAGUGAUGGAAAGAUGAAAAGCACUUUGAAAAGAGAGUGAAAAAGUACGUGAAAUUGUUGAAAGGGAAGGGCUUGCAAGCAGACACUUAACUGGGCCAGCAUCGGGGCGGCGGGAAGCAAAACCACCGGGGAAUGUACCUUUCGAGGAUUAUAACCCCGGUCUCUAUUUCCUUGUUGCCCCGAGGCCUGCAAUCUAAGGAUGCUGGCGUAAUGGUUGCAAGUCGCCCGUCUUGAAACACGGACCAAAA